Molecule: ribosomal RNA, 460 nt
Filed under: uncultured bacterium
Lineage: Bacteria
Description: partial 16S ribosomal RNA
Rfam family: Bacterial small subunit ribosomal RNA
Source: RNAcentral
CCUACGGGGGGCUGCAGUGAGGAAUAUUGGUCAAUGGGCGCGAGCCUGAACCAGCCAAGUCGCGUGAGGGAGGACGGCCCUACGGGUUGUAAACUUCUUUUGCAGGGGCGCAACGGGCGUCACGUGUGGCGCCACUGAGAGUACCUGGAGAAAAAGCAUCGGCUAACUCCGUGCAAGCAGCGGGGGAAUUACGGGGGAUGCGAGGGUUAUCCGGAUUGAUUGGGUUUAAGGGGUGCGUAGGCGGAUCGUAAAUUAAGUGGUCAAUUUGAGGGCUUAAACCCCUACCCGCCAUUGAUACUGGCGUUCGUGAGUGUAGGAGAGGUAUGCGGAAUGCGUGGUGUAGCGGUGAAAUGCUUAGAUAUCACGCAGAACCCCGAUUGCGAAGGCAGCAUGCCGGCUUCCAACUGACGCUGAGGCACGAAAGCGUGGGGAUCGAACAGGAUUAGAUACCCUAGUAGUC